UCACCAUGAGGAGAGAAUGGGAGACGCCUGGAGCAGACCCGUCCUCACUGAUCUGCAUCCUGGAUCCAAGCCCAUGUCAGCUCAGUGACUGGGAAUCAGUGAUUCCGGACCAGUGGCACAUGGAUGAGAGAACUGAGGUUCAGAGAGCCAGCACGACUCAUUUACUCCAGAACUAGGAGAUGGCAGAGAGCCAGGAACGGAAGCCAGGACCGUCUGUUGAUGGAGCUCUUUAAGAGUCAGACGGGAGAGGAGUUUCCAAGAAAUGGGUCAGGAAGAUGAGCCAGCUGCGCCUCCCAAGACACAUGCAUGCCCACAACCUCCUUUCCUCCUCUCACAUCAGGUCUCCAACUCACCACCACCCAAACCAGGUUCUUACAACAAAAGGGACCUUAGUUCAAACCCCCCAUUCCACAGA
Mirounga angustirostris (Northern elephant seal) is the source of this 415-nucleotide long non-coding RNA. RefSeq lists it as uncharacterized. The record is from RefSeq and is a predicted model, not a curated record. NCBI's taxonomy places the organism in Eukaryota, Metazoa, Chordata, Mammalia, Carnivora, Phocidae. The transcript is spliced from 3 exons.